AUGGCCUUGGAACCUGCUGAGACAGACACACACAGUGCAGCCCUACAGACACACAGUGCAGCCCUACAGACACACACAGUGCAGCCCUACAGACACACACAGUGCAGCCCUACAGACACACACACAGUGCAGCCCUACAGACACACACAGUGCAGCCCUACAGACACACACAGUGCAGCCCUACAGACACACACAGUGCAGCCCUACAGACACACACAGUGCAGCCCUACAGACACACACAGUGCAGCCCUACAGACACACACAGUGCAGCCCUACAGACACACACAGUGCAGCCCUACAGACACACACAGUGAGCCCUACAGACACACACAGUGCAGCCCUACAGACACACACAGUGCAGCCCUACAGACACACACACACACACACAGUGCAGCCCUACACACACACACAGUGCAGCCCUACAGACACACACAGUGCAGCCCUACAGACACACACAGUGCAGCCCUACAGACACACACAGUGCAGCCCUACAGACACACACACAGUGCAGCCCUACAGACACGCACACAGUGCAGCCCUACAGACACGCACACAGUGCAGCCCUACAGACACGCACACAGUGCAGCCCUACAGACACACACAGUGCAGCCCUACAGACACACACACACACAGUGCAGCCCUACACACACACAGUGCAGCCCUACACACACACACAGUGCAGCCCUACAGACACGCACACAGUGCAGCCCUACAGACACACACAGUGCAGCCCUACAGACACACACAGUGCAGCCCUACAGACACACACAGUGCAGCCCUACAGACACACACAGUGCAGCCCUACAGACACACACAGUGCAGCCCUACAGACACACACACACACACAGUGCAGCCCUACAGACACGCACACAGUGCAGCCCUACAGACACGCACACAGUGCAGCCCUACAGACACACACAGUGCAGCCCUACAGACACACACACACACAGUGCAGCCCUACACACACACAGUGCAGCCCUACAGACACGCACACAGUGCAGCCCUACAGACACGCACACAGUGCAGCCCUACAGACACGCACACAGUGCAGCCCUACAGACACGCACACAGUGCAGCCCUACAGACACACACAGUGCAGCCCUACAGACACACACAGUGAGCCCUACAGACACACACAGUGAGCCCUACAGACACACAGUGAGCCCUACAGACACACAGUGCAGCCCUACAGACACACACACACAGUGA
RNAcentral lists this long non-coding RNA (1209 nucleotides) under Salmo trutta (river trout). RNAcentral's name for it is "lncRNA (ENSSTUG00000046418.1)". The record is from RNAcentral. Lineage: Eukaryota; Metazoa; Chordata; Actinopteri; Salmoniformes; Salmonidae.